GGGCCUGUAGCUCAGGUCGGUUAGAGCGCACGCCUGAUAAGCGUGAGGUCGGUGGUUCGAGUCCACCCAGGCCCA
Molecule: transfer RNA, 75 nt
Filed under: Candidatus Magnetoglobus multicellularis str. Araruama
Lineage: Bacteria; Pseudomonadati; Thermodesulfobacteriota; Desulfobacteria; Desulfobacterales; Desulfobacteraceae
Rfam family: tRNA
About the family: Transfer RNA (tRNA) molecules are approximately 80 nucleotides in length.
Source: Rfam by way of RNAcentral